UACGUAGGGGGCAAGCGUUGUCCGGAAUCAUUGGGCGUAAAGCGCACGUAGGCGGCCCGGUAAGUCCGUUGUGAAAGUCAGAGGCUCAACCUCUGGAGGCCAAUGGAUACUGCCGGGCUAGAGUCCGGAAGAGGCGAGUGAAUUCCUGGUGUAGCGGUGGAAUGCGCAGAUAUCAGGAGGAACACCAAUGGCGAAGGCAGCUCGCUGGGACGGUACUGACGCUGAGGUGCGAAAGCGUGGGGAGCGAACAGG
Molecule: ribosomal RNA, 252 nt
Filed under: uncultured bacterium
Lineage: Bacteria
Description: partial 16S ribosomal RNA
Rfam family: Bacterial small subunit ribosomal RNA
Source: RNAcentral